RNAcentral lists this long non-coding RNA (1587 nucleotides) under Homo sapiens (human). RNAcentral's name for it is "HSALNT0351254". Lineage: Eukaryota; Metazoa; Chordata; Mammalia; Primates; Hominidae. The record is from RNAcentral.
GUGGCGGCUCACCACGCUGGCCAGGAGCUUGCCUCUCCUACCAUUCCCACUCCAUGUGAUCGCUUCCCAAGGUGCCAACUCCUGGCUUUCCAUCUGGGGAACGCAGAUAUUUUUUUCAAGAGGGUGGAGGGAAAAUCAACAUGAAGAUUAAUGGACUUCAAAGCAGAAAGAGAAUGAAAAUACUGGAAACCUUUGCCUGUGAUUCAGCGUUCAGGGGCACAAGAAUACACUGGAGACAAAGAAGAAGAGCCAAGUCGAGUCUGGGGCCAGAGGAUCUGUGGCGAAUGUCACCACCUGUGACAGCGCUCUUAUUUAUGAACUGAAGAACACUCUCCAUCUUGGCCCUCUUGCCAGAAAAGUUCUUUCUCCACAGACCAACAGGAAGUUCCCUAAGUACUAUGAGACCUUGUCUUUGCCUAUAGCUGGCUGCAUUGGACAUGGAUUCCUGGCCCAAGUUCAUUAAAGAAGAUGAGGGAAAAUAAACACACAUGUACACGCACACCAGAUAAACUGAAUGCUUCCUUCUGCUGGGGACACGCUGUAGGUGAGCAAGUGCACCAAGGACAAGGCGGCCACUGAUGAAAAGGAAGGGAAAAGAGACUUCAUUUCCAUACCCACUAACCAUGCCAACAGAAGGCUUUGUGAAGAAGGAAGUAAAAGCUAUCGGUAGGAGUUAGAAAAAAACAUUUCUAGUUACAAGAACAGCAGAAAAAGACCUGAACUUCAGAGUGGACCACAAAUGAAUAUGAAUUAAUAACACAGAUCUCUUUUCAAAAGCCAACACAAAAUGAGGAUGUGUUUUUUGCAAAAGCAGUUGUUCUUGCCACUGGGCUUAUGCUUGUCAUUCUUUCAUGUGUCACAGCCAGACCUAGGAAAUUCCCUGGAAAGUCCCCUCCAUCACACACCUGCAGUUUUUCCAUUUGAGUGUAAUUCUGUUGGACCUUGAAAGACUUUUUGAUCUUUGGGACGCUCUUAUCACCAAAUGUAUCUUUCUGCAGGAAGAAGACAGAAGAAAGGGGUGGACUAUGAGAUGGGAGCCUGGGUCCCAAUUUCAGUUCAACCAUUACCAACCAGGUGGCUUUAGGCAAGUCUGGUCAUUUCCUUUGCCUCAGUGGCUUUCUAUAAAAUGGAAUUCUAUAGGGAUGAUGAAAGCGAAAACGUUAGCCACUAUGCUUGCUAGUGCUCAAGAAAUGAUUCCUUCCUGCCUGCCUGCCUCAGUUUUCCAUCUGUAAACAAGGAUUCAACUAGAACAUCUUUGAGGUUCCUUGAGCUCUAACACUCUGUGAUUCUGUUGGCAGCACCUUAAGAAAUUUACAACAAACACUCCAUUGAGUCUUAAUCUAUUAGAUCCCAUUCAGUUCUAAUAGUGUUGUGAUUUUGACUUUGUAGCCUCAUGUUUAUUUUCUCUCUUCCUGAUUUUUUAUUUAUAUAUUCUAUUUAAUAGUUUUUGCUUUUUCAAGUUGUCACCAGUUCUUUGUAGAAUAAGAAAAAAGUAUAACUAACUGGAGGAAAGAAUGCAUUCACAGAAAGCCAAGGAAUGAUAACACUAAUGCUAAUACAAUACUACUGCUAAUAAAAAUAACUGCC